Molecule: non-coding RNA, 1770 nt
Organism: Lolium perenne
Lineage: Eukaryota; Viridiplantae; Streptophyta; Magnoliopsida; Poales; Poaceae
Source: RefSeq, a predicted model, not a curated record
GAAGAGAAAAGACGUCCGGGAGAAGAAGCUCAGCUCUCGUACAAAACCGAUCCAAUCUCUAUACAUCCACCAAGCCAAGAGCAAGAGCAGCACUACGUGCACGUGCAGGUCAGGAGCAAAAUCGGACGAGAUCAAUGGAGGCGAAGCUAUCGUUUUCCUACGGUGAGAAUCAUGGCUGAUAUAGUCAGCCUCUCUCUCUCUUUUUCUUCCUCUCCAUGCAGCAUACACGUCAACCGGUGUCGCUCGCCCUCAUCCUGCACAACCGGGAACGACGACGAAGUGCAGGCGCUGGAGCUGUCGGCGCGCAGCCCAUUGCCAACUUCACCACCCGUGUGUGAGCCUCGACGACAACGUCCGCGAUGAGGCUGUCGGCGCGUAGCAUGGCGCCAUCUCCAUGGCACCCGCGACGACGACGCCCGCGAGGAGGCUGCCGGCAUGCAGCGCGGCGCCAACUCCACCACCCGUGAGUGAGCCUCGACGACGACGCCCGCGAGGAGGCUGCCGGCGUGCAGCGCGGCGCCAUCAACACACCCACGAGCCGCGGCGACGGCGUCCGCGACGAGGCUGCCGGCAUGCAGCGCGACACCAUCAACACAACCACAAGCCGCGAUGCAUCGGAGGCUGAAGGCAGUGACCGAGGAGAGCCACGCGGUCACCAUGCAGGUGCAGCCCUUGGCGUACAGGUCCAGCUCGGCGCUUGACGUACAGGUGCAGCGGGCAACGCGGCGAUAUAGGUCCAGCUCGGCGCUUGACGUACAGGUGCAGCGGGUGACACGACAAUAUAGGUGCAGCUCGGCGCUGGCGGACAGGAGCAGCUCGGCCGUGACCGAUAGGCAUGGCUCGGUUGAUGGUGUACAGCCCAGCGAGCGCACAAGAACAAGCCGACGUACAGGUUCAAGGCGGCACUUGGUGUGCAAAUUAAACCGGCGGAUGGGCGUGGUUCAGCUCGGCGAACAGGUCGUACAGGUUGAAGUGGAUGGAUGAUGGCUCCCGAACACACGUUCACGCUUCACGCAUGUCUCAUGCACAGGACUUGGCGAGUGCGUGCGUGGCCAACAGGAUAACAACCAAGAGCUGCGGAUGCUCGCGGCGUACAGGUCGCCGUGGUGCUGCUUCAUGGACCGCACCACUUCGGGACGCCGCUGGAUGGCGGCUAUGACACCACUUCAUCGUGACCCCGUGAGAUGGCGCCCAAGCUGCGCCGACUGCUGUAUACUCGGCGUUGGACCCAGUCACGGCGCCGACCACACCGGCCAUGCCGACAUGAGCGUGUGUUGGUUUUACACCGACGCCGGUCUCCUGAUAAAAAUACUCUCGCGAGGCGUACCCCUUGCGCACCCCGACGAUGCCGCUAAGUCGUCAAGAAGUCCUAGCUAAACGGACUGCAUCAUGCUACUUCAACAACACUCAUCAUCGCCGAUCAAGACCGACGAGGCGCGACGGCGAGGGCGGGCGAGGCCGCAGCACAGGCCACGCUUACAGCGGCGCGUGUACCGACGAGGACACGGGCUCUGCCGCUGCCCACACACAUCUUCACCACCAUCAUGCAUGCAGGACGUGAAGAAAAGACGACGAAGACGACCACACGGCUUAAUCGGAGGUGUCUCGCGGCGUAACCCGCGGGAGUAAUUAACCGGGAGCCUUCCGAGACCCCGGGAAUCAGGAGACUGCAAUCGCCCUAGUCAGGCUGGCCGCGCUAGUAGGCCACGGAGCGCAACACAUGGGAAUUGUAUUUGUUAACUAUAUGAUUAAUGAAAUACUGUUCCCGCA